Long non-coding RNA from Tyto alba (common barn owl), 1954 nucleotides. RefSeq lists it as uncharacterized. The record is from RefSeq and is a predicted model, not a curated record. The transcript has 3 exons. Lineage: Eukaryota; Metazoa; Chordata; Aves; Strigiformes; Tytonidae.
CACCUGGCGGGGUAUAGCCAGCUUUGAAGGAUUUGCUUUGCCCAGCAGCUUCGGCAGGAGGGGCUUUUCAGUCUGUGAUUUGGGUGCUUGCCGAGUCAGAGAGGUGAAGGUCCACAUGAAGUCAACACUGAAGCCAAAGAGAGCUUGGACCCAGCUAAAGGACUCUGCCAUGGACCCCAUUUCCCAAUAACAGCACUGUGAGUGCAUCUCCUGGGGCCCAGGGCCUUUCAUUGCCCUCAGAGGAAUGAAGGUGCAGCUGUUGCCCAGGCAGAUGGUGGAUCCCCUGCACGUGGGAAGGCAGAAGCACUAGCUUUGACCAAGCAGAAAGUGAAGGAGGCAUGAAGGCAGACACCCUCUUUUUCAAAGCAGCAGCUGUGACCUCAGUCCUUGAAGUAGCCAGGGGAAACUGUGCCAUUUUGAAGGCAGGCAAAUCUCAAAGCAUUACUCAGAGAGAGGCCACUGUAUAGCCCAGUCUUUAUGAAUGACAAACCUUCACACUGUAAGAACAUCCCAGAUUAUUUGGUUGGUGUUAUAGAGAAGAGGACUUCAGAGGGCAGCUCACCAAUGACUUUCCUGUAUUGAGGAGCCCAAAAUGAUAUGUUUUCAUAAGCCAGUCACUUUACUAAGUCACUGCCACCCACAGCCCUGCUGGCUGCAGGCGGAGUGGAAAAGGAGGGAGAGGACUGCCAUUGCAGGCCCUGCUGCCACCGAGGUUUAUCUCAGGGGACUUGCCCAUGCCCUGCAUGCAUCCCACCGGGCACAGCUCUUCCUCACCCCCCACAGCUGCCAACAGCUCUUCACCUGCCUCUCUAAGCUCAGGUCUGCUCCCUUUUGCCCUAGUGCUUACCUGCACCUCAGUGUGACAGAGCUGCUCUUUGAUGGAGGCAUUGAAAGGUUUCGGUGGCAAGGGACCUCAAGAAAUCCCUAGCCCAACCCUCUCCUCCAAGCAGAGCUAAUUUCACCGUUAGGUCACUUGCACAGGGGCCUUGUCAAGUCAGAUUUUGAGUAUCUCCAAGGAGGGAGGUUUCACAAGCUCCCUGCAGACUAAGCAGUCCUCCUACCAGUGAGAUCUACCUCAACAGUGAGUUUUUUGUCACUUAUUGGGAAAUUUUCAUGCUGAGGAAUCACCAGCACUGCCAGUGAUACCUCUAACGAUUGAGGCUGUAGUCUGCAUAAUUACAGCAAUUAGAUACUACAGUCCAUAGCAGCCUAAUUAAAACUCCAUGUCUGCAAAUUUGGCCUGAGAAUAAGUGUUCAAUUAUUUUCCAGGAGAAAGAAAACCUGAAAUGGUCAUUACUCAAUUGCUAAGGGUAUUCAGGACAAUGAUGUGAUUUUUAAAGGUUUCAGUCAAUCCAGGCUUUGUACAUUUUAGGUAGUUUAUUCAUUAAUAAAUAAAAAUUAUUGAAAUAUUAAUUUUUCAUUCAGUCAAUAGCUGAUGUGAGUAAGAGAGAAUAUGCUGUAUUGUUUCACACAAAAGAGGUGUUUGAUAGUUGCAUAAAUGGAACCAGAACCCAAUCUCAGUUACAACCUUGCAACCAGAGCCCCAGUAAAUGCACCCAGGGCAUAGGGUCUGUAAUCGCAGUGUUCCAAUGUUAAUAUCAUUUUCUAAUUCCCAGCUCACAUUUAAUCCUAGACAGUGUGUAUCUAACCAUGUUUGUGCCAAGAAUUGUUCUUUAAUAUAAAUAGCUCCUCUCUUUCCUCCCACCAGCCUCAUGUAUUUACAGAAAAGAGCCUUUUCAUUCUUUGUUUUGAGGGAUUAUACUAACCUAGCUCUCCCUGGUUCUAUGUAUAAUUGACUCUGAGUUCUCUCAUGUUUACAAAAACCCUUACAAAAAUUUUCCACCUUAAUGGGUUAUGUUACUUCUGCCAUGCACCUCAUUCUCCAAAGUAUACCUGCGUGUGAGCAAUAAAACAUUAAAUGAAAAGCAAACUUCACUUCCACUGAUAGUGAAUA